This is a long non-coding RNA of Gallus gallus (chicken), 859 nucleotides long. Lineage: Eukaryota; Metazoa; Chordata; Aves; Galliformes; Phasianidae. The record is from Ensembl.
AUGGCAGCAGAGGAGCGGGACAUACUGUGCUCUGGGAUGUUUACAGAGGCAGCAGGGUAACCUUCCCCAAAGGAACAAGACAUGACAGAAUGUCUUCAGAAGUUACAUCCAUUAUAAAGCAGUAAAUAUUUAUGCAUGCUGUGUGCUCUCGGGUGGGCAGGCAGCCUGGCUUGGUACAGGCCGAGAAAUAACCCAGUAAGGAGCCGCAGGCAGGACUAACACUCAGCCCAUAUUUUAUGGUUUUGUGUCAUACCAGCAUGACUCAAAGCCUGUUAACAGAUCCUUUAUUGGGAUUUUAAGUGGUGAUGCACUAUAGUUGGUCCUGAUCCUUGGCUGGCAGACGAAAGGACAUUUAAUUUCCCAGUUGAGAAAAGCAGCUAAGGACAGAACAGCUUUCUGACUGUAGUGUUGACAUCUGAUAUUCAGCAAGUAUACCACCAGUAGUUCCUGCUGACCUCAAGCACAGCCUUCCUUCUCAAACUGCACAUCUAAUGAAGCACAGUAUUAAGAGAGGUUCGUUUCUGAAUGUGGGAAGAAGCAAAGAAAAACCAGGAGCUUCACUUGAAAAAUGGAGGCUUGUUGUCAGAGAUCUCCUGUACAGCUGGUAGGGGAACAUAUUUAUGUCCUCUGGAUACAACGAGCCUGCAGGAGAGAACCAGUGGCUGUUCCUUUGCAGAGAGAUCCAUCUGCUCAUGGGGGCAGACAGGCUGGGGAAGGGCAGCCUCCUCAUACAGCCCUCUGAACAUGCAUGUGGGCACACACACAUUCACACACAGGCUUUGCCUUUCCCUGCGUCCUGAAGAUUCAGCUGAUGCUUUCAGGAGUUUAUGUAACACCAUCAUUGCUGGUUAACGCAUUG